Long non-coding RNA from Drosophila sulfurigaster albostrigata, 883 nucleotides. RefSeq lists it as uncharacterized. NCBI's taxonomy places the organism in Eukaryota, Metazoa, Arthropoda, Insecta, Diptera, Drosophilidae. The transcript is spliced from 2 exons. The record is from RefSeq and is a predicted model, not a curated record.
UGUUGAACACAAUAUUUUUAGCUUCAUCACAAGGCAAGCGGAAAUAUUUUAAAAUUCACAUAAAACAUUUGUAUUUUUUCGAUAUUUUAAAAUAUUAUUAUAAUGCAAUAAGAGUCACACGUGCAAUCUCUCCAAUGGAUCAGCUUUUCAUAAUAAAAUAUACAUAUAUACAAACCCAUCUGAAACAUUCCACAAAAUUAUAAUUCAUAUCUGCACAAAGAUGUGCCAAAAAAAUUCAUCAGCAGUUGCAAAUACUUAUGAGAAAGAUUGUAAGACCUUUCUGUACCAUGCAAAGAAAUAAGUAGCGCAAUUCUCAUCAAAGCAAACAUCAACAUAUAAUUUUUUUUUUUGGAAAUCUUUUUUAUAAAUUUUUAUACUUUUUUUUUCAUAUUUUCUUUGUGUGUGUGUUUUUUUGUUGUUUUUAAAUAUAUUAUAAAAUUUGAAAAUUUUAACCAUCAUAAGUACUUAACAGCAUAGAUACAUAUUUAGCUCUCUUUCUCUCUCUAUCUCUAUUUCUCUAUCUCUGUGAGUGUCUCUCGUAUUUAUUUCUUGUUUCUCUCUAAACUGAAGUACGUUGAAUGUGUUUCAUGAUCAAGUUCUUAAUAUUUUUAAACAUGACUUUAAAAAUACAAAAAAAAGAAUUAUUGUUGAAUUCAGUAGCUACUUAUUUUGUUGCAUUUAAAGUGUUAAACAAUUGAGUUAAAUUAGUUUGUGGAUGUGAAGAAUCCUACACUUCUAUUUCCAUAUCCAUCGAUCAUGCGCUUGUUGUUGUUGCUGUUGUCGAUCUAGUUGUUGGUGUUAUUUAUUUAUUUAGAAAUAGAUUUUUGUUUAAAGAUAUACACAAUGGAUGUUGUUCUUGGUAUUGUUUUUUAGAUUUGCAAAA